UACGAGGGGUCCUAGCGUUGUUCGGAAUCAUUGGGCGUAAAGGGUGUGUAGGUGGCUAUGUAAGUCAGGUGUGAAAGCCCCGGGCUCAACCCGGGAAGUGCAUCUGAUACUGCGUAGCUUGAGUACCGAAGAGGAUAGUGGAAUUCCAGGUGUAGUGGUGAAAUACGUAGAUAUCUGGAGGAACACCGGUGGCGAAGGCGGCUAUCUGGUCGGAGUACUGACACUGAGACACGAAAGCAUGGGGAUCAAACAGG
Molecule: ribosomal RNA, 254 nt
Filed under: uncultured bacterium
Lineage: Bacteria
Description: partial 16S ribosomal RNA
Rfam family: Bacterial small subunit ribosomal RNA
Source: RNAcentral